This 773-nucleotide ribosomal RNA is filed under the name uncultured prokaryote. RNAcentral describes it as "bacterial SSU rRNA". It matches the Rfam family "Bacterial small subunit ribosomal RNA", at positions 28 to 819 of the family's 1533-position model. The record is from RNAcentral.
GAUGAACGCCGACAGAAUGCUUAACACAUGCAAGUCGAUUCAAGUUACCUUCGGGUAAUGAGGAUGGCGGACGGGUGAGUAACGCGUAAGGAACUUGCCUCUUGGUCUGGGACAACUGUUGGAAACGACAGCUAAUACCGGAUAUUAUGAGAUUCUCGCAUGGGAAACUUAUGAAAGCUAUAUGCGCCAAGAGAGAGCCUUGCGUUCCAUUAGCUAGUUGGUGGGGUAACGGCCCACCAAGGCGACGAUGGAUAGCCGGCCUGAGAGGGUGAACGGCCACAAGGGGACUGAGACACGGCCCUUACUCCUACGGGAGGCAGCAGUGGGGAAUAUUGGACAAUGGGCCACAAGCCUGAUCCAGCAAUUCUGUGUGCACGAUGAAGGUCUUCGGAUUGUAAAGUGCUUUCAGUUGGGAAGAAGAAAGUGACGGUACCAACAGAAGAAGCGACGGCUAAAUACGUGCCAGCAGCCGCGGUAAUACGUAUGUCGCAAGCGUUAUCCGGAUUUAUUGGGCGUAAAGCGCGUCUAGGCGGAAAAAUAAGUCUGAUGUUAAAAUGCGGGGCUCAACUCCGUAUUGCGUUGGAAACUGUUUUUCUAGAGUACUGGAGAGGUGGGCGGAACUACAAGUGUAGAGGUGAAAUUCGUAGAUAUUUGUAGGAAUGCCGAUGGAGAAGUCAGCUCACUGGACAGAUACUGACGCUAAAGCGCGAAAGCGUGGGGAGCAAACAGGAUUAGAUACCCUGGUAGUCCACGCCGUAAACGAUGAUCACUAG